UCCCUGAUAGCUCAGUUGGUAAAGAAUCUGCCUGCAAUGCAGGAGACCCUGGUUUGAUUCCUGGCUUGGAAA
Molecule: transfer RNA, 72 nt
Filed under: Bos taurus (domestic cattle)
Lineage: Eukaryota; Metazoa; Chordata; Mammalia; Artiodactyla; Bovidae
Also listed under: 4 other names
Rfam family: tRNA
About the family: Transfer RNA (tRNA) molecules are approximately 80 nucleotides in length. Their secondary structure includes four short double-helical elements and three loops (D, anti-codon, and T loops).
Source: Rfam by way of RNAcentral